GUCUAUGGCCAUACCACCCUGAACAUGCCCAAUCUUGUCUGAUCUUGGAAGCUAAGCAGGGUCCAGCCUGGUUAGUACUUGGAUGAGAGAACCACAUGGUUAUCUCAAUAGAUAUCAUAAAAG
Molecule: ribosomal RNA, 123 nt
Organism: Dipodomys ordii (Ord's kangaroo rat)
Lineage: Eukaryota; Metazoa; Chordata; Mammalia; Rodentia; Heteromyidae
Source: Ensembl